AUUAUGCACUGGGGGAGCUGUUAAGCUGAGAAAGACAUUCUGUAUUGACCCUUGGCACCCGAACUAGAUAAUCCUAGCGUGGGGAAUGUGCAGUCGUUAAGGA
RNAcentral lists this non-coding RNA (103 nucleotides) under Oceanobacillus oncorhynchi. Its description in RNAcentral is "TPP sequence". It matches the Rfam family "TPP riboswitch aptamer (THI element)". Rfam says of the family: Vitamin B(1) in its active form thiamin pyrophosphate (TPP) is an essential coenzyme that is synthesised by coupling of pyrimidine and thiazole moieties in bacteria. The previously detected thiamin-regulatory element, thi box was extended, resulting in a new, highly conserved RNA secondary structure, the THI element, which is widely distributed in eubacteria and also occurs in some archaea. The record is from Rfam by way of RNAcentral. Lineage: Bacteria; Bacillati; Bacillota; Bacilli; Caryophanales; Bacillaceae.